UUUGCAGAUAACAAAAUGCAUCAAUCCUAAGGAGAUGUUUUUUGCUCUUCUUCUCCUUUAAUUUGCUAUGGGUCAAAUUACAAAUUCGACCUUUGUGUCUUAAUCAACAUACAAGGAAAAAAGAUCCCGAAUUCAUUUUUUGUGUCUCAAUCAAUGUUAGAAGAAAAAAAAAGAGAUAUGAGUUUGUGGACUUUCAAUUUGAGAGGUGUGUGUAUUCCAGAAGGAGAAUAAUAAUCAAAGCUUUCUGAGGCGUGCAAAUAGAGUGGUCGAUUGCUACCGCAACAUAUAAAGGCUUUUUGAGGCGUGCAAAUGGAGUGGUUGAUUGCUACCGCAACAUAUAAAGGGUAACAUUUAAGCUUGAAGUGACAGAUGCAUGUUUGGAUACAAGUUAUGCCAUCGGGAACUUUAGUAA
Molecule: long non-coding RNA, 412 nt
Organism: Trifolium pratense (red clover)
Lineage: Eukaryota; Viridiplantae; Streptophyta; Magnoliopsida; Fabales; Fabaceae
Exons: 6
Source: RefSeq, a predicted model, not a curated record